GGGAUCAGGAAAAUCCUUACUUGGUACAUAUAUGAAGAGCUAUAAGGACCCUGCCACCCACGACAGCAUUCUUCUUCCCACGUAUAACCUAGAAGCUAUAGUUAACUAUAUUCUGGAACAUUAUGGACACGAAACUGCUGGCCAAGAAAUUAAUUGGGAGUAGUUUAAGGGCAGAUAUUGAAAAAAGAGCAGCAGUGUCUCUUACUGACAGAUUUGGAAAAUCCCACAGUCUUACUCAGUUUCAGUAUACUAAGGCCAAAAGGGCGGAGCGUACUGCUUCUAGUGCCAGGGAACAUUGUCAUAGAAUAGAAAAUAUGGUCAGUACAAAAAGAGAGUUGAGUGAUUGCGUAAGUGAGCUGACUCAUCUUAAAGAGAUAUGCCAAAACUUUUCAGUGGAAGAUGCUGAAAGGCUAAUCGAGGAGACCACGGUUUUAAAAGAGGAGUUGGAAGACACUGUUAACACAGUAUCCGCUGCUCUGCAAAGAGAGGAAUCUCUGUCUGCAGACUCCGAGCAAGAGGAGAGUGAUAUUACUUGUUGGAGGCUCGAUGGAUUACCGACAGUUACCGCGCGUAUUGGGUGAGGAUGGAGAGGACACUGCGGCCUCUUCCUGGAAUACAUUUCUACUUAUGCAAAGUAUAGAGGGGGCUCUAGUUAUUCCUUAUGAAAAAUUUCCAACAAUGGUGUCAUAUAUGAUGUAUGCAGCAAACCAUGUUUCCACUGAAGAUAUGGAUGGGAAGCCAUCGUUUAUUGCACCCCCUAUUUGGGAAAGAUGCUUCCACACUAAAUUCACGCCAGGGGACACCCUUGGAGAAGGUGGCUUUGGGCGGGUUUCUACCAUGGCAUCAGAUGACACGCUCUGCAUAAAAUAUAUCCCAAAAUUGACAGCACUGUACAAGGAGGCUGUGCUGAUGGAUAUCAUUCACCUUACCAGUCUGUUCAAGCCCCAUGGUGCGUCCAAUAAGGUUCUACAGAUGAUGUUUGCGUGUGUAGAAUGCCAAUGCAUCGUGCUUCCAAAAAUGAGAUGUUCUUUGGAUACCUACAGAGAGUGGUCUCCAAACAGUGUUGCUGACACCUUAAGUGGCUUCAGAGGGUUAAUUGAUGGACUGUUGUAUCUAAACUUUACAUGUGGUAUAACACACUGCGAUGUUAGCCCUUCCAAUAUCCUUAUUGGGGCAGGAGGACUUUCAGACAUGGUAUUAUCUGACCUUGGAAUUGCAACAAUUAUAUGUGCGCCCGGCAUGCCUGGAGAAAUACCAAUAUUUUCAAAAAUGCUUGGAAGAGUCACUAACCUAUAUUCAUCAUCAUGUCCCAUGUUUUUUGCCAAAAGAGACUAUAGACCUUCCACCUGCCUGUUUUUGUGUUAUAAGGCCAUAAAGGAGCAAAAAGCUGCAGAAUCCAUUCCAAUGUACUGGAGGACACCACAGGAGGGACUAAGAUUGGACUUGUGCUGUCUUUAUUAUUCCUUUCAGGACUGUCUACUUUGCAUGGCCGGACUUCAAUACAGGGGGCUGGACUUUCUCAAGGUUUCUCCGCCCCCUCCUGACAGGCCUGGGAAAUAUUUAGCUUACAUGAUGCAAAGAACUGUUGUGACUCAGUUCAUAUGUGGAGUCUGGGGCUUGUCUGUUGAAACAGGCUUAGACAUCGACGGAGGAAGCAGCAACAUCCACAUUCCAAGAACUCAUCGGUCAUAUUUUAAAGCUGUGGCAGAAAAGGCUCUGUGUUUGGUACGGCAGCAGUUCACUCCAGAGAAAAGGGUAACAAUUUUAUCUGAAAGUGUUCAAGCUUUCGUUGUGCCUUUUCUAAGAUUGGACUCCUUUAAUCACUGCCAUGGAAGGGUCGAUUAUUCUGGAUUUUUUUGAAAAGGAUGAUUUGUUGGAAGUUCUGGGAAACAUGGCCCGGGAAAAUCAACUAGAAUCACUGGCAACUCUUAAUUUUUCUGCAUUUAUAAGAUCACCCCAAGUUCAAGAGCUCCUGGCAACAUCAAAGACUUCUGUACGUAUUUCUGAUAUGAGGUUGACGUACUAUUACUUUCUGUUUCUCAGACUUAAUGAAUAUAUUGGGAAUACUGCCAUAAUGGGCGUUUUUAAGGACAUGAUGCACCUGACAGACAACAGUGAGGUGUCUGCCGUGUAUGCUGCGUGUCGGGACGUGACCCCAGAUAUAAAGUAUGCAGUGUGCCAGAGAAUAGAAGCCCUGACUAGGGGACAGCAGGAUAAUGAACUAUGGGACAUUCUGCGUGACGGCAUGAUCUCAUCAUCUAAAUUUCAGUGGGCUGUAAAACAACAUAGCAUCAACAAGAAACUGUUUAAUCCACAGCCUAUAAAGGUUAAUCACUAUUUUGCUGGUCCUCUAGCCUUUGGGAUAAGAUGUGAACAAACUGUUAAAAAAAUUUUGAGUGAGCUUAUUCAUCCAAACUUGCCAAGAUUUCAUGAUUGUGGAUUUUUGCCCAGUGCAAUUGAUGGAAUUUUUGGAGUUUCCCUGGACACUGCUUUCAAUGUGUUUACAGAUAGCAGCGGACUUGUGCACUUUGAACCAGAUAGUAUUGUGUAUGAAAUAAAGUCCAGAUAUAAGUACCAGUUUUCAAAAUCUGAAUUUGAUGGUCUGGCCAAGAAAUAUUUGGAUCUCUACAAAAACCCCUGUGAGGCAACUUUUAUCAAGUUCAUAAACUGUAUUUCAAGACCCGCUGUUGAAUAUGUUCCACAUGGAAAACUUCCCUCAGAAAGUGACUAUCUAAUCACCCACUCCAUGAACUGGAAAACCAGCAACAAGAGAAAGCGCAAAAUCACUGAUAGUCAUAUCUGUCUUAAAAAAUGUCUACUUCACAACAUGUAUCAACAAUCAACAGUUUAUAUCUUGUCAGACCCCUCUGAGACUUCUGGAAAAAUCACCAUUAAGGCAUCUUUUCCCAUAGAUGUAUUUGUGAAUCCUGCACACAACUACUUUUACCAGGUGGCGCUCCAAAAUAUGGUUGUUCAAGAUUACAUUGAAUUUGGUCAGGGUGUAUAUAAAAGACUAGGCCAUCAGAAGAAUUUCAUAGCAUCUGGAUUUUUCAGAAAGAGACACUUUUCUGAUCCUGCUGUUUGCUCCAUUGGUAAUUGUGGAAAGUUGGAUACUACAGACGAGAUACCAGUGGCGCUCAUCAUCACUCCUGUUAGGAUUCCAUCUACUGUGCUGCACGAGUACCUCAAGAAAGCAAUUGAUUUUUGGAAUCAGUGUGCUGAGGCAAACUUUGACCAUAUCCCAUGGGGGCAGCUUUCGGAUGUUGCAAGAAAACCCAUAACCCCCUAAAAGAUGUAAGGGGACAACUCAUUGACCUGACAAAGGACUUUGAACUAAUUUCUGAAAACACUGGACUUUUGGUUGAAGACCCCUCUGUUGGUGAGGGGCAUUUAGAGCUUAAACCCAAACCUUAUGGGUCAGACACUGACAGUGAUACAGACAUUGAAUAUGAACGAGGCAAACACGCUUAAUUUGCUUUAAUUACUUUAAUAAAAUGUUUAUAGUUCAUCUUC
RNAcentral lists this non-coding RNA (3513 nucleotides) under synthetic construct. The record is from RNAcentral.